This 280-nucleotide ribosomal RNA is filed under the name uncultured prokaryote. RNAcentral's name for it is "partial 16S ribosomal RNA". It matches the Rfam family "Bacterial small subunit ribosomal RNA", at positions 505 to 785 of the family's 1533-position model. The record is from RNAcentral.
GUGCCAGCCGCCGCGGUAAUACAGAGGGUGCAAGCGUUAAUCGGAAUUACUGGGCGUAAAGCGCACGUAGGCGGUUUUUUAAGUCAGAUGUGAAAGCCCCGGGCUCAACCUGGGAAUUGCAUUUGAAACUGGGAACUAGAGUGUGUGAGAGGGGGGUAGAAUUCCAAGUGUAGCGGUGAAAUGCGUAGAGAUUUGGAGGAAUACCAGUGGCGAAGGCGGCCCCCUGGCACAACACUGACGCUCAGGUGCGAAAGCGUGGGGAGCAAACAGGAUUAGAUAC